Long non-coding RNA from Calypte anna (Anna's hummingbird), 588 nucleotides. RefSeq lists it as uncharacterized. The transcript has 4 exons. NCBI's taxonomy places the organism in Eukaryota, Metazoa, Chordata, Aves, Apodiformes, Trochilidae. The record is from RefSeq and is a predicted model, not a curated record.
GUCUGUGGCAGAAGCUUCACUGGAAGUUGCUACAAGGCGCUGCAGGAACCUGGAGGAAGCCAACCUGGGCUUGGAAAAAUAAUUGGGAGAGGCUAAAUCCAAGAACUGAUGAAAAAGAGAAAAGGAAAAGCCAACAGAAAGCUUGGUGGAAGGUGGAAGAACACACGUGGAAGUGGCUGCAAAUCCAGUUCACCAUUCAGCUCACCUGGGACAUCCUGGCACCAGUCUGGUUCUGAACAGAAGUCCAGUAGGAAGCAUCCCCAGCUCACCCAUAGGAGCAGAACCAUUGAUGAACAGGAUUUCCUCUUCUGCAGUCAGGGAACUGGAUGAGUUCAUCUCUGAAGAAGUUGGUAAGAAGAAGAUGGUAAGAUGAAGAACAAGACACUGGUGAACUUUAAACUACAUCUUUGGGAGCUUAUUCCAUAUCUUGUGAUGGAUCAGAAGAGAUGAAAAUAUGUUUCUGUCAGUCUGAAUAAAUGUUAUGAGUCUCUUGGAUGGAUGACAGCCCUGUUGCCCUUCCCUGGUGUUUUUUUGAUGCAUAGUCCUUUCCCUCUCCCUGUUCCCUUUUCUCUCCUCUCCUCUCCUCUC